Molecule: ribosomal RNA, 472 nt
Filed under: uncultured bacterium
Lineage: Bacteria
Description: bacterial SSU rRNA
Rfam family: Bacterial small subunit ribosomal RNA
Source: RNAcentral
UGGGGAAUUUUGGACAAUGGGCGCAAGCCUGAUCCAGCCAUGCCGCGUGAGUGAAGAAGGCCUUCGGGUUGUAAAGCUCUUUCGGCGGGGACGAAACGGUUCGUGACAACACCACGGACUAAUGACGGUACCCGCAUAAGAAGCACCGGCUAACUACGUGCCAGCAGCCGCGGUAAUACGUAGGGUGCAGGCGUUAAUCGGAAUUACUGGGCGUAAAGCGUGCGCAGGCGGUUUGUUAAGACAGGUGUGAAAUCCCCGGGCUUAACCUGGGAAUUGCGCUUGUAACUGGCAGGCUAGAGUGUGGCAGAGGGGGGUGGAAUUCCACGUGUAGCAGUGAAAUGCGUAGAUAUGUGGAGGAACACCGAUGGCGAAGGCAGCCCCCUGGGUUAACACUGACGCUCAUGCACGAAAGCGUGGGGAGCAAACAGGAUUAGAUACCCCGGUAGUCCCUGAGCGGGCUGGCAAGGCGCAU